Molecule: long non-coding RNA, 3930 nt
Organism: Oncorhynchus masou masou (cherry salmon)
Lineage: Eukaryota; Metazoa; Chordata; Actinopteri; Salmoniformes; Salmonidae
Exons: 2
Source: RefSeq, a predicted model, not a curated record
ACCAGGCUAUGUGGGGUGGCCAGUCCUCUUCUGGCUGUGCCGGGUGGAGAUUAUAACAGAACAUGGCCAAGAUGUUCAAAUGUUCAUAAAUGACCAGCAUGGUCGAAUAAUAAUAAGGCAGAACAGUUGAAACUGGAGCAGCAGCACGGCCAGGUGGACUGGGGACAGCAAGGAGUCAUCAUGUCAGGUAGUCCUGUCAUAUCUGUUCCGCCCGCUGAUUAGUUAGGUAUUUAGUAAAUAAAUAAUUAACCCCAAAUUUGUAUUGCUGAUUCAACUUGUUAGCCAAGAUUCUUGCAGAUAACCAAGAAUUUACAACUUUCAAAUUAUGAGACUGAAGUAAGAUGACGAUUAAUGUUGACUGCUAUUGAUGUAAAAUAUGACUAAAUCUUUAAGAGUUUAUUCGGAAGAUAACAGCUCUAUAAAUAUUAUUUUGUGGUGCCCGACUCUUUAGUUAAUUACAUUUACAUGAUUAGCUCAAUCAGGUGAUAUUCAUUACGGAGAAAUUGUUUUAUAGAAUAGCAUGUCUAAGCAAUUAACCCGGCAUAGCCAAAGACACGACACCCACUAUGGAAAAAUACUUAUUAACCUGGGUUUUCAUGAAAUGGCAUGAGUGGACCAAAGAGGCUUCUGAAUAUGGAUGGCCUAUGGAUGGGUCAUUUAACAAAACCGAAUAUCAACAUGUGCAGGACAUUGUGAUAAGAAGACAGGAAAAUAAGACCAAGAGAAAGAAGAAAAAAAAUCCACCCUGUUUUCUGUGACUGCUUUGUCGAGGGCAAAAACUGAGGGUAACUUAUUCUGGACUCAAAAUAAAGCUACCUGUUUGAAAAAGGAAUUGACAAAGAUUAAAGACCCUGCCUUCGUCAAGACAGAGAAGUUUCCUCUAGAAGGCAGCGCCCCACCAUAUGCUCCACCACCCCCUCCCAGCUGCGGAGAUAGGUUUAAGGGAAUUUAUCCACUACUCCCAAACAAACUAGUAGCUCCAGGAGAUAAUUAUUCUCCACCACCGGCACCGGGUAGAAUGUAUCAAGAACUAGGAGAUAUAUGGAAUGAUGCCAGGACACAAUCAACGCCUCUCUACCCUGGAGUUACCAUGGCAAAGGACCUCAUGGCAGCUCAAGAAAAGAAGGUGCAGAGAGAAAUGGAUAAAGCUGUUGACAAACUCCGACGACAUUGCGAUGAUGAAGACAAAGACAAAAGGAGGAGUGGAAGUAACAUAACAAAGGAAUUGAAGAGAAAAGAGGAAAAAUAUGAAGACUGCAGAAAAAGCAAGGAAGACUGGACCUGACACACAGCUCAAGAAGGCCCAGCUGGAAAAAGGAAAGACCAACAACCUGAUGGUGGCUGUAGCCUCUACCUCUCAACAACCACCACCACAACCUCACCAACCACAGCAACAGCCACCCUGGCAACAGAGAGAGAGAGGGAAUGCUGGCAGAGGGAACUUCCAAGGUGGUAGAGGUGGAAGACCAGCCUACACUGGACAGCCUCAACCUGUUUUUUUCCCAGACUCAACCAAUGAAUGGUCGACAAUAUGGAUGGCUCCAACAGCCUCCUUUGACAAACCAGACGAGGUUCCCACCGCAGAAUAAUCAACAAUAGGGAUGACCUGACCCCCUUCUCCAGUGUCACCAGUACAUACUUCCGGAUGAUACCAAAGAACCAAUCAUUACUCUGAAGGUCAACGAUCAAGAGGUACCAUUUUUAAUAGACACUGGAGCUCACUCCUCCUGCAUUGGAUCUACAGGCCAACACCUCGGCCUGGGACUUACAUCUAAGUCAGUGAGGACGAUGGGAGUUGCUGGGAUAUCUCAAAAGCUGUACUGGACUGAAGAUACAACAAUUGACCUGGGGGAAGGUAAUACUAUUAAGGCUCACUGAUGUUACUCUCUUUGUCGAUGGCUCUGCCUUUAUUGAUAGGUAGACUGGUAGGAAACAUGCAGGGUUUGGUAUAGUCUCACUGGAUAGGUCAUUGUUGAUUGAACAGCCCUUGCCUGAACAUUUCUCAGCACAACAAGCUGAGCUCCUGGCCCUUACUGAAGUAUGUAUAUUAGGUAGUAGUUUGAAGGUUAACAUUUAUUCUGACUCUGCAUAUGCCAUUGGUGUUUGCCUCUGCUGGGAUGGCGUUUGGAAGGGUAGGGACUUUGUUAACAUGUCUGGUACCCCUAUUAAACACCGUUUACAGAGCAUUUCAAGCAGGGCUUCUAUGUUGCUUCCUGCCAAGUUGGCUAUUCUUAAGAUCCGUGCCCACACAGGUAACACUGACAGCAUUAGUUUAGGUAAGGCUGAUGCUGCUGCUAAGAAUGCUGCUUCUCGCUGCAAUACUCAUGCCGUUAUGCUUACUACACUGUGUACGUCUUAAAUCACUGAUCUGGACCAACACCAAGCUGCUGAUGCACUUAAUCCCCCCUUAUUGGAAUCUAGGGGCUACUCCAGAGGCCCUGAUGAUCUGUAGAGGCAAACCAGUUCUCCCUCUGCCUCUCGUCUCUUCUGUGUGUCGCCUGGCCACACGCCAAGGGGGGAGAUGGUUUUUGUAUUCCCAAUACAGGAAAGCCCAGGAAGUUCCAGAACAGAGUGACCCAGACAAGCCUACUUGUUGACGUUGGAGAAUGGAUCAAGCUGAAGGUACACAAGAGGAAGUGGAACCACCCCAGAUGGAUGGGUCCGUACCAGGUCAUCACAGCAACACCUACAGCAGGAGCGUCAGGGGUGGCACCACCUAUCCCACCUCCAGAAGACGUCCCAACCAUCAUAACAGAAAAGAGUGUACACCCAGACUCAGAUGUUGUUACACAUGUCCAAUAUGGUCACAUUGUAAAAAACAAAACUUGGGGUAAAACUUUGAGGUACAUGUUUUUGAUACUUCUUAUCAUCAACCAGCAGCCUCUGUUGGGGGGAAUAGAUAUCAAAGAAAAUCAAUUGAAAACAAGUAACCAAUGGGUAAACAUGGCCCAGAACCUGAGCCGACAAGCCACACCUAGUAGCUCAUAUGUAAUCAUUAAAAAAAAACUCGGUCAGAGUGAAUUGCUUGGAUCAAUUGUAGUCCCAUUGCUAAGUACACCUACUCCAUGCAGGCCCAUAUGAAUUUGGCAGUAGCUGAUUUUGCCCUUCUUUCUGCUGAUGUUCAGAAUCUUAAAGCUGUUACAGCCAGGCAUAGCCUGGAAUUAGACUACAUCCUGGAUAAUGAGGGGGGAUAUUGCAAGGCCCUAAAUUAUAUUUCCCCCACUGAAUGUGUUAUGCUUCUCCCUGACUCCUCUGAUAAUAUGACAGAGAUUUUGAAAGAAUAAACACAAUUGGCUGAUACCUACGCCCCUUACAGGAGAAGAAUCCUUUUUCCCGUUUGGGUGGUUGAAAGAUAAGUUAUGCGAUUUUGAAUUUAAGCUGUUUUCCCAUUUUGGUCCCAUUACUGGCCCCACUGCUUGUUCUGCUGAUUUGCAUUUGUGCAUUCUGUGCAGCUGCAAAUGUGUAAGGCUAUGCCAGGCAUGUUUAUGCUUCGUGUUCCUCAUCCCCCAGACCCUUAUUUCUAUCCUCAAUCUCCUGAGGAUCGCUUGCAAUCUUAGGCACCUUUUUAAUGGAGGAUUCUUAUAAUGACUAUGCUUGAGUUACUUCGCUUUUGUUGAGCCCUAGUGGCCUCAAAGGGGGGAACGAAGGGGUAAAACCAAGGCCUCAUACCUUUAAAGGGUUAAUCAAUUGUUUUAUGAUGAACUGUAAGGUUUCCUCUUUAGGAGACCUCUGUGUGUGUGUUAACACCUGUUCUGAGUGUUGUGCCCUUCAGACACUAUCAGAAGGUGGAAACCGCCUUCGCUCAGACUCCUGAGUUACAGGAUGUCUUAGACAUUUUGCAGAACCUGGGGAGAGCUAUCAUAUACUGUACUCUGUACCAACUUCUGCCUACAAUUGUAUUACUAAAGGAGAAUUGUCAUACUUAAACAA